UGGAGGGUUGUCAAACCUUUUAAGUAGUAUAUAUAGCUGAUGGCCACAUAUGUUUGUGAAGUACAUAUCAAUCUGGUGUUCGUCAAUAGCAGGUCAAGCAUAUAUCACGUUGUCUAGCACUCUUCUUGGAUCAAUUGGUAUCUUUCCAAUAUAAAUUAUUCGUCGGGUAAGAAGUCAAUCAGUGAUUGCGUCCCUGGGAUCGUGCACAUCUUUUCCCCUCGGAUAGGUUCUCUUCCAUUGUAACUUUCUGUCUACAAGACUAUGUUCUUCGUUUCCUCCCAGACUCAAGUGAUAGCUGCUUCCCAGAUUUCUCUCUAUACAAGGUAAAUUUAACUAUCUCUACACCUUUAAAAAAUCUCAUUUUUUGCCACAUUGGUGGUUCAGAUUUGAAUCUGAAGUUACAUAUACAGAUCUGUCGUUGGACGGAGCG
This 430-nucleotide long non-coding RNA is filed under the name Hordeum vulgare. Its description in RNAcentral is "long non-coding RNA (HVUL_LNC017700)". Lineage: Eukaryota; Viridiplantae; Streptophyta; Magnoliopsida; Poales; Poaceae. The record is from RNAcentral.